This 257-nucleotide small nuclear RNA is filed under the name Fukomys damarensis (Damara mole-rat). RNAcentral describes it as "7SK RNA". It matches the Rfam family "7SK RNA". Rfam says of the family: 7SK was discovered as an abundant small nuclear RNA in the mid-70s but a possible function has only recently been suggested. Two independent studies have found that 7SK RNA binds the CDK9/cyclin T complex (known as elongation factor P-TEFb). Lineage: Eukaryota; Metazoa; Chordata; Mammalia; Rodentia; Bathyergidae. The record is from Rfam by way of RNAcentral.
GGAGGUGAGGAUGAUCUGGCUGGCAUCCCCUUCCUCCCUCACCGCUCCAUGUGCGUCCCCCCAAAGCUACUUGCUUAGUUGAAGAGGACAAGCAUCCGCAAUAGCGGACUAUUUCCGAGGUCAAGGGUAUAUGCAAGCAGUUGUGCCCCACGGCCUGAACUUCCAAACAAGAUCUCAAGGUCCAAGUCUGCUUUCUGCAUGCCAACCCACUCAGCAUUCCCUACAGUCCUGGCCUGCACACUUCUGUUCCAGAAACU